GACGAACGCUGGCGGCGUGUCUAAUACAUGCAAGUUGAGCGAUGAAGCUUGGUGCUUGCACCAAUUUGAAGAGCAGCGAACGGGUGAGUAAAGCGUGGGUAAUCUGCCUUUGAGCGGGGGACAACAUUUGGAAACGCAUGCUAAUACCGCAUAACAACUUUAAACAUAAGUUUUAAGUUUGAAGGACGUAAUUGCAUCACUCAAAGAUGAUCCCGCGUUGUAUUAGCUAGUUGGUGAGGUAAAGGCUCACCAAGGCGUUGAUACAUAGCCGACCUGAGAGGGUGAUCGGCCACAUUGGGACUGGGACACGGCCCAGACUCCUACGGAAGGCAGCAGUAGGGGAUCGUCGGCAAUGGACGAAAGUCUGACCGAGCAGCGCCGCGUGAGUGAAGAGGGUUUUCGGAUCGUAAAACUCUGUUGGUAGAGAAGAACGUUGGUGAGAGUGGAAAGCACAUCAAGUGACGGUAACUACCCAGAAAAGGACGGCUAACUACGUG
RNAcentral lists this ribosomal RNA (497 nucleotides) under uncultured bacterium. RNAcentral's name for it is "partial 16S ribosomal RNA". It matches the Rfam family "Bacterial small subunit ribosomal RNA", at positions 28 to 507 of the family's 1533-position model. The record is from RNAcentral.